This 1346-nucleotide ribosomal RNA is filed under the name uncultured bacterium. RNAcentral describes it as "partial 16S ribosomal RNA". It matches the Rfam family "Bacterial small subunit ribosomal RNA", at positions 28 to 1381 of the family's 1533-position model. The record is from RNAcentral.
GAUGAACGCUGACAGAAUGCUUAACACAUGCAAGUCAACUUGAACUUCGGUUUGGGAGGCGGACGGGUGAGUAACGCGUAGAGAACUUGCCUCACAGAUAGGGACAACAUUUGGAAACGAAUGCUAAUACCUGAUAUUAUGAUUUUAGGGCAUCCUAGGAUUAUGAAAGCUAUAUGCGCUGUGAGGGAGCUUUGCGUCCCAUUAGCUAGUUGGAGAGGUAACGGCUCACCAAGGCGAUGAUGGGUAGCCGGCCCGAGAGGGUGGACGGCCACAUUGGGACUGAGAUACGGCCCAGACUCCUACGGGAGGCAGCAGUGGGGAAUAUUGCACAAUGGGCGCAAGCCUGAUGCAGCGACGCCGCGUGGGGGAUGACGGCCUUCGGGUUGUAAACUCCUUUCGUUAGGGACGAAGCCGCACCUUUUUUGGGUGUGGUGACGGUACCUUUGUUAAGAAGCACCGGCUAACUACGUGCCAGCAGCCGCGGUAAUACGUAGGGUGCGAGCGUUGUCCGGAAUUACUGGGCGUAAAGAGCUCGUAGGUGGUUUGUUGCGUCGUCUGUGAAAUUCCGGGGCUUAACUUCGGGGUGGCAGGCGAUACGGGCAUAACUAGAGUGCUGUAGGGGAGACUGGAAUUCCUGGUGUAGCGGUGGAAUGCGCAGAUAUCAGGAGGAACACCGAUGGCGAAGGCAGGUCUCUGGGCAGUAACUGACGCUGAGGAGCGAAAGCAUGGGGAGCGAACAGGAUUAGAUACCCUGGUAGUCCAUGCUGUAAACGGUGGGCGUUAGGUGUGGGGGCCGGUUUGGUUUCUGUGCCGUAGCUAACGCAUUAAGCGCCCCGCCUGGGGAGUACGGCCGCAAGGCUAAAACUCAAAGGAAUUGACGGGGGCCCGCACAAGUGGCGGAGCAUGUGGAUUAAUUCGAUGCAACGCGAAGAACCUUACCUGGGUUUGACAUGCACCAGACGGUUGUAGAGAUACGUACCUCCCUUUGUGGUUGGUGUGCAGGUGGUGCAUGGUUGUCGUCAGCUCGUGUCGUGAGAUGUUGGGUUAAGUCCCGCAACGAGCGCAACCCUUGUCUUAUGUUGCCAGCACUUUGGGUGGGGACUCAUGAGAGACUGCCGGGGUUAACUCGGAGGAAGGUGGGGAUGACGUCAAAUCAUCAUGCCCUUUAUGCCCAGGGCUUCACACAUGCUACAAUGGUUAGUACAACGCGCUGCGAGCCUGUGAGGGUGAGCGAAUCGCUGAAAGCUAAUCUCAGUUCGGAUUGGGGUCUGCAACUCGACCCCAUGAAGUCGGAGUCGCUAGUAAUCGCAGAUCAGCAAUGCUGCGGUGAAUACGUUCCCGGGCCU